UUGGGGCUGGGUGGGGAGAGGG
Molecule: microRNA, 22 nt
Filed under: Bos taurus (domestic cattle)
Lineage: Eukaryota; Metazoa; Chordata; Mammalia; Artiodactyla; Bovidae
Description: bta-miR-2412
Source: miRBase by way of RNAcentral